UUCCAGACUCCUACGGGAGGCAGCAGUGGGGAAUAUUGCACAAUGGGGGAAACCCUGAUGCAGCGACGCCGCGUGAGUGAAGAAGUAUUUCGGUAUGUAAAGCUCUAUCAGCAGGGAAGAAAAUGACGGUACCUGACUAAGAAGCCCCGGCUAACUACGUGCCAGCAGCCGCGGUAAUACGUAGGGGGCAAGCGUUAUCCGGAUUUACUGGGUGUAAAGGGAGCGUAGACGGCAUGGCAAGUCAGAUGUGAAAGCCCGGGGCUCAACCCCGGGACUGCAUUUGAAACUGUCAGGCUGGAGUGCAGGAGAGGUAAGUGGAAUUCCUAGUGUAGCGGUGAAAUGCGUAGAUAUUAGGAGGAACACCAGUGGCGAAGGCGGCCUGCUGGACGACAACUGACGGUGAGGCGCGAAAGCGUGGGGAGCAAACAGGAUUAGAUACCCGAGUA
This 446-nucleotide ribosomal RNA is filed under the name uncultured bacterium. RNAcentral's name for it is "bacterial SSU rRNA". It matches the Rfam family "Bacterial small subunit ribosomal RNA", at positions 329 to 792 of the family's 1533-position model. The record is from RNAcentral.